Regulatory RNA element from Wenxinia marina DSM 24838, 48 nucleotides. It matches the Rfam family "SAM/SAH riboswitch aptamer". NCBI's taxonomy places the organism in Bacteria, Pseudomonadati, Pseudomonadota, Alphaproteobacteria, Rhodobacterales, Roseobacteraceae. The record is from Rfam.
UUUCCGUCACAACGGCUUCCUGGCGUGGCGGCGAACUUCAAUGGAGCG